RNAcentral lists this small RNA (79 nucleotides) under Flavobacterium sp. 120. RNAcentral describes it as "Flavo-1 RNA". The record is from RNAcentral. Lineage: Bacteria; Pseudomonadati; Bacteroidota; Flavobacteriia; Flavobacteriales; Flavobacteriaceae.
UUUUAGCCCUUCCCGAAGUCUCGGGAGGAAAUAGAAAUCCUUUGCUGAAGAAAGAUUGAAAUGUACAGCAGGAAUAGCU